GGAUGAAAGGAGAUAUGGCUGCAAAAUCUGUUACCCCAUUGAUCUCCAGGUUGAUUUGGCUACUCUGGCUGGCUAGGUGAGUCUCCCCUUCCUUCCUCACCCAUGUGUGCCCCUCCUGAAGCUGCACACUUAGUUGAAGAGGAUUACCUUCCCCAAUAGAGCAGAGUACCAUUUCUCUACUAGAAUUUUCAAAUAAACUCUCAAAAGCUGUUAUUUAAAAAAUGGGACUUGUCUCAUAUGUGAGCCCAAGAUCUCUAUUGCUUUUAAUCUACACAUGCAU
This 280-nucleotide small nuclear RNA is filed under the name Myotis davidii. RNAcentral describes it as "7SK RNA". It matches the Rfam family "7SK RNA". Rfam says of the family: 7SK was discovered as an abundant small nuclear RNA in the mid-70s but a possible function has only recently been suggested. The record is from Rfam by way of RNAcentral. Lineage: Eukaryota; Metazoa; Chordata; Mammalia; Chiroptera; Vespertilionidae.